CCACCUACUCUUCUUCCUGAACUCCACUUCCCUGCCUUCUUUUCUCUGAUGGAAAAAAGUGAGAGAAAAUGUGUCUUCCCUCCAUUCUGUUAACCAACUCUGGGAAAGAGACAGUGCAGAGGUACUCUGGAGGAUAAUAGAACUAAUUGGACAAAGACAUCACAAUAGACAGAAGCACUCCAGAAACCUUGGUUCUGUGGCUAGGUCACUGGAAUGGGCAUCAGGAGAUGUGCAUUCUAUUCUGGUCACUGCUAUGACUUUGUGCAAGUCACUUCAUUUCUGUGUGUCUCUGUUCUCCCUCUUAUCUGCCUCUGUUAUAAUAUUGUUAUAAGACUAUUUAUUUGCCCCUCUGCUGCGUGGUAGCAGAUGUCAGGCUUUGUAGUCAGCUUUCUGUCGGAGGAGAAAUCACGGACAAGGAGUCUGGGUAUACUCUGUGCAGUUUGUUUUCUUUACAUGUAUAUGCAUAAGUCCUGGAACCGAGGUGGCCACAAAUGGCCCACAGGUCUUCUUGAAGGGAUCUCAGCCCAAACACCAAUGUCUGGAUCCCAGGAUGCAACUCUGCCUCAGUAAUUGACAGCAAACUCUCCUUCUGCUUGGCACGGAGCCCUUAAAAAACACUACAUCAGAAAACCAACAACAGGACAGCAUUUUUUUCCAAGACCAAAUACUUGCUUGUAUGUUAAGAAAAUGCUCAGAAUGAGUAAGUCUAGGGCUAACAGCACCAUCUAAUGACCAUAACAAUAACAAAAGCAUGUUGCAGUUUUCCCUGUCUAAAAUAAAGGGAUAUUCAGUCA
This is a long non-coding RNA of Caretta caretta (loggerhead turtle), 794 nucleotides long. RefSeq lists it as uncharacterized. NCBI's taxonomy places the organism in Eukaryota, Metazoa, Chordata, Testudines, Cheloniidae. The record is from RefSeq and is a predicted model, not a curated record.